This 84-nucleotide transfer RNA is filed under the name bacterium. RNAcentral's name for it is "tRNA-Leu". It matches the Rfam family "tRNA". From Rfam's summary of the family: Transfer RNA (tRNA) molecules are approximately 80 nucleotides in length. Their secondary structure includes four short double-helical elements and three loops (D, anti-codon, and T loops). RNAcentral also lists the same sequence under 1 other name. The record is from RNAcentral.
GCCGGAGUGGUGGAAUUGGUAGACGCGCUAGGUUCAGGACCUAGUGGGAGCAAUCCCGUGGGGGUUCGAGUCCCCCCUCCGGCA